GGCAUAAACUAGAGCGUGAGUCUUUGCUC
Molecule: non-coding RNA, 29 nt
Filed under: Rattus norvegicus (Norway rat)
Lineage: Eukaryota; Metazoa; Chordata; Mammalia; Rodentia; Muridae
Source: RNAcentral